RNAcentral lists this ribosomal RNA (815 nucleotides) under uncultured fungus. RNAcentral's name for it is "eukaryotic LSU rRNA". The stretch from base 568 to 815 matches the Rfam family "Eukaryotic large subunit ribosomal RNA", at positions 1 to 242 of the family's 3401-position model. Lineage: Eukaryota; Fungi. The record is from RNAcentral.
CAUUAUUGUAACAACUGGGAGGACGCGAGAGGGCUGUCGCUGACCCUUUAAACCGGGGGUCGUGCACGCCCGAAGUGUCAUCCUCACACAAUCCACCUCACCUUUGUGCACCACCGCGUGGGUUCCCUCCGGAAAAGGGGCUUGCGUUUUCCACAUGAACCCAGUGUAGAAUGUCUUUUUGCUUUUUAUUGCAAUCAAUACAACUUUCAACAACGGAUCUCUUGGCUCUCGCAUCGAUGAAGAACGCAGCGAAAUGCGAUAUGUAAUGUGAAUUGCAGAAUUCAGUGAAUCAUCGAAUCUUUGAACGCACCUUGCGCCCCUUGGCAUUCCGAGGGGCACACCCGUUUGAGUGUCGUGAAAUCCUCAACCUUCUUUGUUUCUUUGAACUGAGAAGGCUUGGAAUUUGGAGGCUUAUGCUGGCCUCUUUCUUGAAGCCAGCUCCUCUUAAAUGGAUUAGCAGGUUCUGCUUAGCCAGAUCCCUUGACGUGAUAAGCCAUUUCUAUGUCCUGGGUUGGGCUCUGUCUCUUGCUUACAAUCGUCUCUUUCGAGACUACACGAAUACCCCCUUGACCUCAAAUCGGGUGAGACUACCCGCUGAACUUAAGCAUAUCAAUAAGCGGAGGAAAAGAAACUAACAAGGAUUCCCCUAGUAACUGCGAGUGAAGCGGGAAAAGCUCAAAUUUAAAAUCUGGUGGUCUUUGGCCAUCCGAGUUGUAAUUUAGAGAAGUGUCUUUCGCGUCGGACCGUGCACAAGUCUCCUGGAAUGGAGCGUCAUAGAGGGUGAGAAUCCCGUCUUUGGCAUGGACUCCUGAUGC